UUAAGCGACUAAGCGUACACGGUGGAUGCCCUGGCAGUCAGAGGCGAUGAAGGACGUGCUAAUCUGCGAUAAGCGUCGGUAAGGUGAUAUGAACCGUUAUAACCGGCGAUUUCCGAAUGGGGAAACCCAGUGUGUUUCGACACACUAUCAUUAACUGAAUCCAUAGGUUAAUGAGGCGAACCGGGGGAACUGAAACAUCUAAGUACCCCGAGGAAAAGAAAUCAACCGAGAUUCCCCCAGUAGCGGCGAGCGAACGGGGAGCAGCCCAGAGCCUGAAUCAGUGUGUGUGUUAGUGGAAGCGUCUGGAAAGGCGCGCGAUACAGGGUGACAGCCCCGUACACAAAAAUGCACAUACUGUGAGCUCGAUGAGUAGGGCGGGACACGUGGUAUCCUGUCUGAAUAUGGGGGGACCAUCCUCCAAGGCUAAAUACUCCUGACUGACCGAUAGUGAACCAGUACCGUGAGGGAAAGGCGAAAAGAACCCCGGCGAGGGGAGUGAAAAAGAACCUGAAACCGUGUACGUACAAGCAGUGGGAGCCUCUUAAUGGGGUGACUGCGUACCUUUUGUAUAAUGGGUCAGCGACUUAUAUUCUGUAGCAAGGUUAACCGAAUAGGGGAGCCGAAGGGAAACCGAGUCUUAACUGGGCGUUAAGUUGCAGGGUAUAGACCCGAAACCCGGUGAUCUAGCCAUGGGCAGGUUGAAGGUUGGGUAACACUAACUGGAGGACCGAACCGACUAAUGUUGAAAAAUUAGCGGAUGACUUGUGGCUGGGGGUGAAAGGCCAAUCAAACCGGGAGAUAGCUGGUUCUCCCCGAAAGCUAUUUAGGUAGCGCCUCGUGAAUUCAUCUCCGGGGGUAGAGCACUGUUUCGGCAAGGGGGUCAUCCCGACUUACCAACCCGAUGCAAACUGCGAAUACCGGAGAAUGUUAUCACGGGAGACACACGGCGGGUGCUAACGUCCGUCGUGAAGAGGGAAACAACCCAGACCGCCAGCUAAGGUCCCAAAGUCAUGGUUAAGUGGGAAACGAUGUGGGAAGGCCCAGACAGCCAGGAUGUUGGCUUAGAAGCAGCCAUCAUUUAAAGAAAGCGUAAUAGCUCACUGGUCGAGUCGGCCUGCGCGGAAGAUGUAACGGGGCUAAACCAUGCACCGAAGCUGCGGCAGCGACACUAUGUGUUGUUGGGUAGGGGAGCGUUCUGUAAGCCUGCGAAGGUGUACUGUGAGGUAUGCUGGAGGUAUCAGAAGUGCGAAUGCUGACAUAAGUAACGAUAAAGCGGGUGAAAAGCCCGCUCGCCGGAAGACCAAGGGUUCCUGUCCAACGUUAAUCGGGGCAGGGUGAGUCGACCCCUAAGGCGAGGCCGAAAGGCGUAGUCGAUGGGAAACAGGUUAAUAUUCCUGUACUUGGUGUUACUGCGAAGGGGGGACGGAGAAGGCUAUGUUGGCCGGGCGACGGUUGUCCCGGUUUAAGCGUGUAGGCUGGUUUUCCAGGCAAAUCCGGAAAAUCAAGGCUGAGGCGUGAUGACGAGGCACUACGGUGCUGAAGCAACAAAUGCCCUGCUUCCAGGAAAAGCCUCUAAGCAUCAGGUAACAUCAAAUCGUACCCCAAACCGACACAGGUGGUCAGGUAGAGAAUACCAAGGCGCUUGAGAGAACUCGGGUGAAGGAACUAGGCAAAAUGGUGCCGUAACUUCGGGAGAAGGCACGCUGAUAUGUAGGUGAAGUCCCUUGCGGAUGGAGCUGAAAUCAGUCGAAGAUACCAGCUGGCUGCAACUGUUUAUUAAAAACACAGCACUGUGCAAACACGAAAGUGGACGUAUACGGUGUGACGCCUGCCCGGUGCCGGAAGGUUAAUUGAUGGGGUUAGCGGUAACGCGAAGCUCUUGAUCGAAGCCCCGGUAAACGGCGGCCGUAACUAUAACGGUCCUAAGGUAGCGAAAUUCCUUGUCGGGUAAGUUCCGACCUGCACGAAUGGCGUAAUGAUGGCCAGGCUGUCUCCACCCGAGACUCAGUGAAAUUGAACUCGCUGUGAAGAUGCAGUGUACCCGCGGCAAGACGGAAAGACCCCGUGAACCUUUACUAUAGCUUGACACUGAACAUUGAGCCUUGAUGUGUAGGAUAGGUGGGAGGCUUUGAAGUGUGGACGCCAGUCUGCAUGGAGCCGGCCUUGAAAUACCACCCUUUAAUGUUUGAUGUUCUAACGUUGGCCCCUGAUCGGGGUUGCGGACAGUGUCUGGUGGGUAGUUUGACUGGGGCGGUCUCCUCCUAAAGAGUAACGGAGGAGCACGAAGGUUGGCUAAUCCUGGUCGGACAUCAGGAGGUUAGUGCAAUGGCAUAAGCCAGCUUGACUGCGAGCGUGACGGCGCGAGCAGGUGCGAAAGCAGGUCAUAGUGAUCCGGUGGUUCUGAAUGGAAGGGCCAUCGCUCAACGGAUAAAAGGUACUCCGGGGAUAACAGGCUGAUACCGCCCAAGAGUUCAUAUCGACGGCGGUGUUUGGCACCUCGAUGUCGGCUCAUCACAUCCUGGGGCUGAAGUAGGUCCCAAGGGUAUGGCUGUUCGCCAUUUAAAGUGGUACGCGAGCUGGGUUUAGAACGUCGUGAGACAGUUCGGUCCCUAUCUGCCGUGGGCGCUGGAGAACUGAGGGGGGCUGCUCCUAGUACGAGAGGACCGGAGUGGACGCAUCACUGGUGUUCGGGUUGUCAUGCCAAUGGCACUGCCCGGUAGCUAAAUGCGGAAGAGAUAAGUGCUGAAAGCAUCUAAGCACGAAACUUGCCCCGAGAUGAGUUCUCCCUGACUCCUUGAGAGUCCUGAAGGAACGUUGAAGACGACGACGUUGAUAGGCCGGGUGUGUAAGCGCAGCGAUGCGUUGAGCUAACCGGUACUAAUGAACCGUGAGGCUUAACCUU
Molecule: ribosomal RNA, 2902 nt
Filed under: Escherichia coli
Lineage: Bacteria; Pseudomonadati; Pseudomonadota; Gammaproteobacteria; Enterobacterales; Enterobacteriaceae
Also listed under: 1 other name
Description: bacterial LSU rRNA
Rfam family: Bacterial large subunit ribosomal RNA
Source: RNAcentral